GGCCUGCUGAGGGCAGAUAAAGUGUACGUGCGAGUCUAUGCCGCCUGCUGUAACAAUCAGUCCUUCACCUGCUAUAACCUCGGUGCCGGCACCAAUCUGAAAAUCAACAUUAUCCUGAAUGUCUUUAUUGCCUGCUUUUCCGAUAGCGGCAAUGCGUCCAUGCUUGAUGCCGAUAUCUGCCUUGUAGAUACCUGUAUAAUCAAGGAUCACCGCAUUGGUGAUAACUGUAUCUACAGUAUCCUUAUCAAGAGCCUGGCUCUGCCCCUGACCGUCA
RNAcentral lists this small RNA (274 nucleotides) under uncultured Succinivibrio sp. RNAcentral's name for it is "5' ureB small RNA". It matches the Rfam family "5' ureB small RNA". Lineage: Bacteria; Pseudomonadati; Pseudomonadota; Gammaproteobacteria; Aeromonadales; Succinivibrionaceae. The record is from RNAcentral.